GACGAACGCUGGCGGCGUGCCUAAUACAUGCAAGUCGAGCGAACUGUCCGGGAUGUUUGCCCUCUGGCGUUUUCGCGGCGCAGGUGUGUGUAACAUGUAUGCCACCUGUCUAUGAGACGGGGAUCUCCUUGGGAAAGGAGUUCUAAUACGGGAUAAUCUGGCAUCUCGCGGGUGGGUAGUGGGAGAGGGGGUGCCAUUUGCUUCUAGAUGGUGGCCCUGCGGCGCAUUAGCUAGUUGGUGGGGUAACGGCCUACCAAGGCGACGAUGCGUAGCCGACCUGAGAGGGUGAUCGGCCACACUGGAACUGAGACACGGUCCAGACUCCUACGGGAGGCAGCAGUAGGGAAUCUUCCGCAAAGGGCGAAAGUCUGACGGAGCAACGCCGCGUGAGUGAGGAAGGUCUUCGGGUCGUAAAGCUCUGUUGCCAGGGAAGAACGAGUGUGGAAGUAACUGCGCAUGCCAUGACGGUACCUGAUAAGAAAGCCCCGGCUAACUACGUG
This 500-nucleotide ribosomal RNA is filed under the name uncultured bacterium. RNAcentral describes it as "partial 16S ribosomal RNA". It matches the Rfam family "Bacterial small subunit ribosomal RNA", at positions 28 to 507 of the family's 1533-position model. The record is from RNAcentral.